Molecule: ribosomal RNA, 558 nt
Filed under: Enterococcus sp.
Lineage: Bacteria; Bacillati; Bacillota; Bacilli; Lactobacillales; Enterococcaceae
Description: bacterial SSU rRNA
Rfam family: Bacterial small subunit ribosomal RNA
Source: RNAcentral
UUGAAACUCAAAGGAAUUGACGGGGGCCCGCACAAGCGGUGGAGCAUGUGGUUUAAUUCGAAGCAACGCGAAGAACCUUACCAGGUCUUGACAUCCUUUGACCACUCUAGAGAUAGAGCUUUCCCUUCGGGGACAAAGUGACAGGUGGUGCAUGGUUGUCGUCAGCUCGUGUCGUGAGAUGUUGGGUUAAGUCCCGCAACGAGCGCAACCCUUAUUGUUAGUUGCCAUCAUUUAGUUGGGCACUCUAGCGAGACUGCCGGUGACAAACCGGAGGAAGGUGGGGAUGACGUCAAAUCAUCAUGCCCCUUAUGACCUGGGCUACACACGUGCUACAAUGGGAAGUACAACGAGUCGCUAGACCGCGAGGUCAUGCAAAUCUCUUAAAGCUUCUCUCAGUUCGGAUUGCAGGCUGCAACUCGCCUGCAUGAAGCCGGAAUCGCUAGUAAUCGCGGAUCAGCACGCCGCGGUGAAUACGUUCCCGGGCCUUGUACACACCGCCCGUCACACCACGAGAGUUUGUAACACCCGAAGUCGGUGAGGUAACCUUUUGGAGCCAGC